This 253-nucleotide ribosomal RNA is filed under the name uncultured bacterium. RNAcentral describes it as "partial 16S ribosomal RNA". It matches the Rfam family "Bacterial small subunit ribosomal RNA", at positions 524 to 776 of the family's 1533-position model. The record is from RNAcentral.
UACAGAGGUCUCAAGCGUUGUUCGGAUUCAUUGGGCGUAAAGGGUGUGUAGGUGGCGCCGUAAGUCGGGUGUGAAAUUUCGGAGCUUAACUCCGAAACUGCAUUCGAUACUGCGGUGCUUGAGGACUGGAGAGGAGACUGGAAUUCAUGGUGUAGCAGUGAAAUGCGUAGAGAUCAUGAGGAAGACCAGUGGCGAAGGCGGGGCUCUGGACAGUUCCUGACACUGAGACACGAAGGCCAGGGGAGCAAACGGG